GACGAACGCUGGCGGCGUGCUUAACACAUGCAAGUCGAACGGAAAGGCCCUGCUUUUGUGGGGUGCUCGAGUGGCGAACGGGUGAGUAACACGUGAGUAACCUGCCCUUGACUUUGGGAUAACUUCAGGAAACUGGGGCUAAUACCGGAUAGGAGCUCCUGCUGCAUGGUGGGGGUUGGAAAGUUUCGGCGGUUGGGGAUGGACUCGCGGCUUAUCAGCUUGUUGGUGGGGUAGUGGCUUACCAAGGCUUUGACGGGUAGCCGGCCUGAGAGGGUGACCGGCCACCUUGGGCCUGCGAUACGGCCCAGUCUCCUACGGGAGGCAGCAGGGGGAAAUAUUGCACAAUGGGCGGAAGCCUGAUGAAGCAACGCCGCGUGCGGGAUGACGGCCUUCGGGUUGUAAACCGCUUUCGCCUGUGACGAAGCGUGAGUGACGGUAAUGGGUAAAGAAGCACCGGCUAACUACGUG
This 468-nucleotide ribosomal RNA is filed under the name uncultured bacterium. RNAcentral's name for it is "partial 16S ribosomal RNA". It matches the Rfam family "Bacterial small subunit ribosomal RNA", at positions 28 to 507 of the family's 1533-position model. The record is from RNAcentral.